AUACGUAGGGAGCGAGCGUUGUCCGGAUUUACUGAGUGUAAAGGGUGCGUAGGCGGCUCUGCAAGUCAGGUGUGAAAACCAUCGGCUUAACUGAUGGACUGCAUUUGAAACUGUGGGGCUCGAGUGGAGUAGAGGCAGACGGAAUUCCCGGUGUAGCGGUGAAAUGCGUAGAGAUCGGGAAGAACACCAGUGGCGAAGGCGGUUUGCUGGGCUCUAACUGACGCUGAGGCACGAAAGCAUGGGUAGCAAACAGGAUUAGAUACUCUGGUAGUCCAUGCCGUAAACGAUGAUUACUAGGUGUGGGGAGUCUGACCCUCUCCGUGCCGGAGUCAACACAAUAAGUAAUCCACCUGGGAAGUACGACCGCAAGGUUGAA
RNAcentral lists this ribosomal RNA (376 nucleotides) under uncultured bacterium. Its description in RNAcentral is "bacterial SSU rRNA". It matches the Rfam family "Bacterial small subunit ribosomal RNA", at positions 523 to 898 of the family's 1533-position model. The record is from RNAcentral.